UCCUUGUUUACACUAGCUUCACCAUUCAAAAGGGACUCUUCAAGAGGGCCAAGUUUAGUCAUAUUGCUAACAGAACAUCCAACAUAACAAAGAAAGAGACCUGUAAUAGAGGAACCUUUAUCAGAAACUACUCCCUCCGUUCCUUUUUAUUUGUCGUUUGAGAAAGAAAAAAAAAGGAAAAAUUAAGAAAAAUUAGGAAAAUGUUUUUUUGCACCGUAUCUUCCUAUUAUACCCUUAUUUUAUUUUAUGUUUUGGAAUUUAUUUUUUUUGGUACAUAUUUUUUGGAAUAUAUUACGCUGGAUCAUAACAAACCAUUUUUCACAAAACUAAAUCAUCGGAUACAUAGCACAAGCAGCAAAGCAAUCCCCUUUAAAAGAUUCAAAAAAGAAAAUCCCUACAAAAAAAAAAGAUUAUAAGAAGGGUAUAAUAGACAAAAUAUAGCCUUAAAUUCUCAAAACAACAAAUAAUUUGGAACAAAUUUUUUUUUCUAAAACGACAAAUAAAAAGGAACGGAGGGAGUAAAUUUUUUUGGAUAGGAAAUAGUUUUCAUGUUAGUUGUUCGUAUUGUUUUCUUUGGCCAGAUUUUGAACCCGAGUCUUUUAAUUCGUUCAAAUCCUUUAACCCCUAGUUUAAACUAGUUGAGCUACCCAACCCCUAUCCGAAACAACAUGUUUGGCAAAAAACAUACUUUCCAUAGAUUACAAAGUCAGUAACAAGGCAACAUGAAUACACAAAAGCAUAGACCAAGCACAAAAUUCUCAAGAAACAUGGGAAACUCAGUUUCUAUACACAAUUUAAAUAAACACAUACAUAGUAACUAUUUUAGUAGCCAAGCCAAAUCCUAAAUUGUGAUAAGCUCCUUUGAACCAUCAUGCUCAUACCAUGAAAGGUUGUUUAGUAAGCACAAUACAAGGUUAGACACACAAAUAUUGAAGCUAAUUAGAAGUGUGUAUUGUUUAGAGUGGUAAGUGACAUGGAUACCUUUAACAAGUCAUUAGAAGUUUGAAUCCUAGCUUUUAUGUAUGGUAAAAUCCAUAUAGGAGAAUCCACCUUGUGUGUUCAACCGCUGAAAAAUAUUAAUCAAUGAUAAACUACGUAAAUAAUUCGGACAUAUAAAUUGGGUCAAAAAAUAAAUAAUAGUUUGAGUUUGUAGUACCAGAUUAUGGAAUUAAUUUCUUUCACUCUUUUCUAUUUGGUCUAAAAAAACUUAGUCCCAUACAUACCCAUGACACAACCAGCAGGUGAAGUGAAGAAUAUAUCCUACGUGUGAAAAUGGGUUGAACCAGUUGCGGUGGAAUAAUAAUGAGAGAAGAGUAAGAGCUUACCUAAAUAAAGAAACCAGUUCUGCAGUAAUGGUUGACUUGUUGACUUUACUGUAAAGCAAGAGUUCUGAUCUAGUAUAAGUGGGGUUUUGGUAUAGAUAUGUGGAAUUCUGUUCUGUGGUCACAAUUAAGUAGUGUGACGCAUGUUGAUGAUGUUGAUUUCAAAGCAGGACUUUUCUCACAGCAUCACAUCUCCACCUAACAACUUGUAUAGUGCUAUAUUUAAUUUAACUUUAUUAGACCUUCCUUUUACAUGUAAACCAGCUUUACUAAACAUAAUUAAUUCUUUACUACCUUUC
Molecule: long non-coding RNA, 1621 nt
Filed under: Trifolium pratense (red clover)
Lineage: Eukaryota; Viridiplantae; Streptophyta; Magnoliopsida; Fabales; Fabaceae
Description: long non-coding RNA (TPRA_LNC003776)
Source: RNAcentral